GCUCCCAAUUUCCUGUCCCGAAAAUAUGACAAACUAGAGCCCAGUUUAAAACCAGUAUUGGGUCCUUCUGGCUGCAGGUACUUCUGUAGCGUCGCCUCUUUUCUUGUUGCCAUCAGGACUUCACAGACAAACUCUCUGCUGUAGGUCUGGGUCUCAAUUUAAAUCCACAUCCCUGUAGCCCUGUACCCCCCGAAGGCCUCACUCCACUCAUGAGUAUUAAAAGCAGGAAUUCAUUUGUCCCCGCUGCAAUUAUUUCACUUAAUCUGUCGAUGAAAUCACGAAGCAUCCGCAGCAUACAAAAGCGUUUGUGCGUCGCUCUGCAGGGUGACCUAUAAUUGCACUGUGAAUGUGAAUCAGGGCCUCAUUAUACUCGGUGCGUGGACUGUCUGAGAGGUACAGGGAUGGAGUCGCUCAGAGCUGAAGGGGCACGUCCAUGGGGUGACCUUGCAGAUUUGGAUUGGCCACACAGAAUAUAUUUCAUUUCAGUAUUUUCUCUUUGCUCUGCAGAUCCAUCUCCAUGUGUGUUUGGUUUUGCGUCAUUUAUAGCGGUC
This is a non-coding RNA of Xyrichtys novacula (pearly razorfish), 551 nucleotides long. NCBI's taxonomy places the organism in Eukaryota, Metazoa, Chordata, Actinopteri, Labriformes, Labridae. The record is from the annotation of a GenBank genome assembly.